AUAUGGAUUCCUACGGGAGGCAGCAGUGGGGAAUCUUGCGCAAUGGGCGAAAGCCUGACGCAGCGACGCCGCGUGGGUGAUGAAGGCCUUCGGGCUGUAAAGCCCUGUGGGGAGGGACGAAUAACGUCGACCCAAUACGUCGAUGGAUGACGGUACCUCCUUAGCAAGCACCGGCUAACUCUGUGCCAGCAGCCGCGGUAAGACAGAGGGUGCAAACGUUGUUCGGAAUUACUGGGCGUAAAGCGCGUGUAGGCGGUCGGGCAAGUCGGAUGUGAAAGCCCAGGGCUCAACCCUGGAAGUGCAUUCGAUACUGCCUGGCUAGAGUCUCGGAGAGGGUGGUGGAACUCUCGGUGUAGAGGUGAAAUUCGUAGAUAUCGAGAAGAACACCUGUGGCGAAGGCGGCCACCUGGACGAUGACUGACGCUGAGACGCGAAAGCGUGGGGAGCAAACAGGAUUAGAUACCCUGGUAGUCCACGCCGUAAACGAUGGGUGCUAGGUGUCACGGGUAUUGACCC
This 516-nucleotide ribosomal RNA is filed under the name uncultured Myxococcales bacterium. Its description in RNAcentral is "bacterial SSU rRNA". It matches the Rfam family "Bacterial small subunit ribosomal RNA", at positions 329 to 838 of the family's 1533-position model. The record is from RNAcentral. Lineage: Bacteria; Pseudomonadati; Myxococcota; Myxococcia; Myxococcales.